ACGCCUUUUCAACUAUUAUUUGCUUGUUUUAUUUUUAAGAUAAUCAUUUUUUAUUUUUCUCACGAUAGAUUACAAAAAUAAGCCCAUAUCGUAGUUUCUUUGUUUCUUAUAAAGAUUUGAGUUGAUGGUUGUUUGUCCACUCAAUUGAGAACCCUAGGCUCUCCUAUAUAGCUAUGAAAUGAAUGUAAUUGCACCCUUUUGAUAUUACAGAUAUAUGUAUCACGGUCCUUUGACUGAACCGAUGUAUAUUUUGAGAUAGUUAUAUUGAGAUCAAACUUUGAAGUAAAAACAAAAGUGU
This 298-nucleotide long non-coding RNA is filed under the name Brachypodium distachyon (stiff brome). RNAcentral describes it as "long non-coding RNA (BDIS_LNC003738)". Lineage: Eukaryota; Viridiplantae; Streptophyta; Magnoliopsida; Poales; Poaceae. The record is from RNAcentral.